GCCUCCGUGGAGCACGGUAGCUCGCUCCCGCUGGGUAAAGGACGAAGGUAAUUAUCGGGGAGAGCCGGCGGUUCGACCCCGCCCGGAGGCA
Molecule: non-coding RNA, 91 nt
Organism: Mycena latifolia
Lineage: Eukaryota; Fungi; Basidiomycota; Agaricomycetes; Agaricales; Mycenaceae
Source: the annotation of a GenBank genome assembly